Molecule: ribosomal RNA, 484 nt
Filed under: uncultured bacterium
Lineage: Bacteria
Description: partial 16S ribosomal RNA
Rfam family: Bacterial small subunit ribosomal RNA
Source: RNAcentral
AUUGAACGCUGGCGGCAGGCCUAACACAUGCAAGUCGAGCGGAUGAAGGGAGCUUGCUCCUGGAUUCAGCGGCGGACGGGUGAGUAAUGCCUAGGAAUCUGCCUGGUAGUGGGGGAUAACGUCCGGAAACGGGCGCUAAUACCGCAUACGUCCUGAGGGAGAAAGUGGGGGAUCUUCGGACCUCACGCUAUCAGAUGAGCCUAGGUCGGAUUAGCUAGUUGGUGGGGUAAAGGCCUACCAAGGCGACGAUCCGUAACUGGUCUGAGAGGAUGAUCAGUCACACUGGAACUGAGACGCGGUCCAGACUCCUACGGGAGGCAGCAGUGGGGAAUAUUGGACAAUGGGCGAAAGCCUGAUCCAGCCAUGCCGCGUGUGUGAAGAAGGUCUUCGGAUUGUAAAGCACUUUAAGUUGGGAGGAAGGGCAGUAAGUGAAUACAUUGAUGUUUCGACGUUACCAACAGAAUAAGCACCGGCUAACUUCGUG